AAGAGUAUUUUUAAGUUAGCAUAUAUGGAUAAAUAUUAAAAGUAUCCGCAGCGAUAUGCAAUUUUGAAGUUAAAAUGGAAGGAAGGAACUCGGCAAAUCUUAGCUUCGCCUGUUUAUCAAAAACAUGGCUCUCUGUUACUUUAAUAUAGGGAGUCGGACCUGCCCAGUGAAAUUUUUUAACGGCCGCGGUACCCUGACCGUGCAAAGGUAGCAUAAUCAUUUGCCUUAUAAUUGAAGGCUUGUAUGAAUGGUUUGACGGGAGCAUUGCUGUCUCCCUCCCAGUAGAUAGAACUUGACCUUUAGGUGAAGAGGCCUAAAUAUAAUUGAAAGACAAGAAGACCCUGUCGAGCUUUAAAAUUAGAUUAGAGGGAAAUAUAAAAUAGCCUAAAUUUAUAGCUAAUUGGUUUUUUGGUUGGGGCGACCGAGGAACAGCAAGAGCUUCCUUUAUCUAAGCUGACUUAUAGGUAUUGAUCCAGCCUAAAGCUGAUUAAAAAAAUUAGUUACCGCAGGGAUAACAGCAUAAUCUCUCUUAAGAGACCAAAUCGAAAGAGGGGGUUGUGACCUCGAUGUUGGACUAGAAUAUCCUGAAGAUGCAGAAUU
RNAcentral lists this ribosomal RNA (600 nucleotides) under Sulcospira paludiformis. RNAcentral's name for it is "partial large subunit ribosomal RNA". It matches the Rfam family "Bacterial large subunit ribosomal RNA", at positions 1274 to 2562 of the family's 2925-position model. The record is from RNAcentral. Lineage: Eukaryota; Metazoa; Mollusca; Gastropoda; Pachychilidae.